ACUGCACUCACUUCCAGCUCAGUCUUUUCAUUCCCACAUGGGGUGGCAGCUGAGAGUUUAGCAGUCCAUGUGUGGAUGAGGCCAUGGUGACAACAAUUUCAACCUUCCUUUGAACCUUCUAAUUAACUGCUACAAUGUAUUUUUUAACCACUAUAAACAACUAUAUGUUGAUGAUGAAGAUGAUGAAGGGACAAAUUGAGAUAAGACUGCAUGCUCACACUCGGUCUGCUCGUGGAUGAGGGUUGCAUAAUUACACAGUACCAUGCCACCCAUGUAUGGACCUUUGUGGGCUUGAACCCACUCACCAGGAGCUCAGGAUCACCCUGGAAUUGCUAUUACCAAGUGUUUGACCAUGAUUACCAGGGGCUGCCGGGCUGCUGCCAUCCCCUUGAUGUCAUUUUGAAUUUCUUCUGACUCCACUAAUGAUGCUAAUUUCUGGGUUCUUAUCUUUACUGUUUUUAAAUUGGCUCUUAAACCUUCAUUGCAAUAGAACAGUGGAGAGAAGACGGAAACACAAGGAGAAACUAAAUGGCCUUAGGGCGGAGUCAAACCUGGGCCUUAUGCCACAUGGCCGUUUGCUCAACCCAGUGAUAAGCUAUACUGGCUCAGAAAAGCCUUAUGGCAUGUUCAAGAUACCUCAGAACUCUGGUGUUAGAACUCGAAUUAGCGCAUAUCAGAAAAAGAACAUUUGGUGAAUCAAAAAUACACAACAGUGGCGGUACAGAUUAAAACUUUACAGUACUGUUUAUUUUCAAUGCUGCCAUCUUGGAUUGCUAACUCGGUAUGUUGGUGUAGUCCAACUUUCUGAGUGGAAAAUCUGAGUUGAGGUGGUGUUCCACAAAGAAUUUCUGACUUCUCACUUAUUUAUGAAUACAUUAUUAUUUAUCAUAUACUGGAUAUAACACCUCAGAGUUCAACUGAAUCAAGUCCCUUUCUGACUGGUUGUCCUUUGAAAACAUUCGGUUGUAGCAGCAUUUGGGUGGUGCUUCUGUGCACACAGCCACUGUGUGCUUGAAAUCACCAUAUUAAGGACAACUGUCCCUUUUGAAGUCAUACUGAUCAAGGAGUAUAAAAGCUGUGGGGUCAAGCAUUAAAACUGAGGUUUAACGUACAGGAAUUAUUUUCACGUAUAUGACGUCGUUUUUUAUAAACUUGGAAAGGGAUUAAAUGAGAAUCUGUCAUUGCCACAGUAUAUGUAUAUGACAGUAUGUAUGGAUAUGACCUUAAAACAUGAUUUCUGAUUACACUACUGUUACACAAACACACACAAGCUUGUUGCUCAAAAACUUCAUAUUUUACGCCAUGGUUUUUUUUACCAUAGCAACCAGCUCCAGGGCAUAUCCCACACACAUUCACCAGUGGUGCAGAGC
Molecule: long non-coding RNA, 1370 nt
Organism: Oreochromis niloticus (Nile tilapia)
Lineage: Eukaryota; Metazoa; Chordata; Actinopteri; Cichliformes; Cichlidae
Exons: 2
Source: RefSeq, a predicted model, not a curated record